This 409-nucleotide long non-coding RNA is filed under the name Gossypium barbadense (sea-island cotton). RNAcentral describes it as "long non-coding RNA (GBAR_LNC005505)". Lineage: Eukaryota; Viridiplantae; Streptophyta; Magnoliopsida; Malvales; Malvaceae. The record is from RNAcentral.
GCAGACAUUCUUCUCAAUAUGCAUGACAUCAAGAUUGUGGCGUAAAAUGUUGUGCUCCCAAUAAGGCAACUCAAAAAAAAUACUCAUUUUCUUCCACAACUCCGCCUCAUUAGGAUCAUCCUCUUCGUCAGAUUCAUCAUCAGAUUCAUCCCUCGAUCUUCUUCUUGUUUGCGUGAUAGGUGGUUGAUUCAUCUUCCCGUAACUAAAGUUGAUAUCUUUUAACAUAAACAAGAUUUCAGAUCCAACGGUCUGCUCAGGAGCUCCUCUGUACUCUUCAGUACCGUCAAAUAGAGUCCUCUGAAAUCUAAAUUUAUGAUUUUCAUCUAACCACCGACGAUGGCCCAUGUAAGAGAACUUCUUCCCAUUAUACAACCACUUCGAACAAGUUUGCGCAGCACAACAAGGACAG